Molecule: ribosomal RNA, 451 nt
Filed under: uncultured bacterium
Lineage: Bacteria
Description: bacterial SSU rRNA
Rfam family: Bacterial small subunit ribosomal RNA
Source: RNAcentral
GUGGGGAAUUUUUCGCAAUGGGGGAAACCCUGACGAAGCAACGCCGCGUGGAGGAUGAAGGCCUUCGGGUCGUAAACUCCUGUCGACCGGGACGAAAGUAGUCUGGCCCAAUACGCCGGGCUAUCGACUGUACCGGUGGAGGAAGCCACGGCUAACUCUGUGCCAGCAGCCGCGGUAAUACAGAGGUGGCAAGCGUUGUUCGGAAUUACUGGGCGUAAAGGGCGCGUAGGCGGCCUUUCAAGUCCUGUGUGAAAUCCCUCGGCUCAACUGAGGAAUUGCACGGGAAACUGUUUGGCUUGAGUUCGGGAGAGGGAAGCGGAAUUCCGGGUGUAGCGGUGAAAUGCGUAGAUAUCCGGAGGAACACCGGUGGCGAAGGCGGCUUCCUGGACCGACACUGACGCUGAGGCGCGAAAGCUAGGGGAGCAAACGGGAUUAGAAACCCCAGUAGUCC